GAGCGGGAAGAGCUCAAAUUUGAAAUCUGGUGGCCUCAGGUCAUCCGAGUUGUAAUCUAUAGAAGUGUUUUCCGUGCUGGCUCAUGUACAAGUCCCUUGGAACAGGGCGUCAUAGAGGGUGAGAAUCCCGUCCUUGACAUGAACUACCAGUGCUCUGUGAUACAUUUUCAACGAGUCGAGUUGUUUGGGAAUGCAGCUCAAAAUGGGUGGUAAAUUCCAUCUAAAGCUAAAUAUUGGCGAGAGACCGAUAGCGAACAAGUACCGUGAGGGAAAGAUGAAAAGCACUUUGGAAAGAGAGUUAAACAGUAUGUGAAAUUGUUGAAAGGGAAACGAUUGAAGUCAGUCGUGCUCUUUGGAUUCAGCCGGUUCUGCCGGUGUACUUCCUUUGAGUGGGGUCAACAUCAGUUUUGAUCGCUGGAUAAAGGCUGGAGGAACGUAGUACCCUCGGGUAAACUUAUAGCCUCCUGUCACAUACAGUGGUUGGGACUGAGGAACGCAGCACGCCUUUAUGGCCGGGAUUCGUCCACGUACGUGCUUAGGAUGUUGACAUAAUGGCUUUAAACGACCCGUCUU
RNAcentral lists this ribosomal RNA (573 nucleotides) under Filobasidium floriforme. Its description in RNAcentral is "eukaryotic LSU rRNA". It matches the Rfam family "Eukaryotic large subunit ribosomal RNA", at positions 96 to 655 of the family's 3401-position model. The record is from RNAcentral. Lineage: Eukaryota; Fungi; Basidiomycota; Tremellomycetes; Filobasidiales; Filobasidiaceae.